AGGUCUAUAUAGCUCAGUGGUUUAGAGUGGCUGCCUGCAUCCCUGCUCCAUACCAGCAGGCCAUGUGUUCAAGUCUCACUGGGUCUA
Non-coding RNA from Melampsora americana, 87 nucleotides. The record is from the annotation of a GenBank genome assembly. Lineage: Eukaryota; Fungi; Basidiomycota; Pucciniomycetes; Pucciniales; Melampsoraceae.